UCUUAUUUUUGUACAUUACAUUUUAAUAAUUGCAAUUUAGUCUAAGUAAAAAUUGACAUAAUAUAUAUUUAUAUAGGUUUUUUAUUCGUUUAAAUAGAUUUCUUAACCCUACUGAUUCAUCAACAAAAAGCUUAAUUUUACCAAUUAUACGAGAAUUUGAAUUGAUUAAUAAGAAUAUUUAAUUAAUUAUUCUGGAUAUAUUUGUUGCAGAAAAAUCCAACGGCAUUGUCCAUUUUGCAAUAAAAGGAUUAAAAAUCGACAGAUUUUAUAUCAACACAUAAAGAGAUGCAAAGAGGGUAAUUUGCCGAUACCACCUGAAUUCAUGUGCGGAUGUGGCCUUUAUCAAACAGGAGUGAAGAGCAAACUUCUUAAACAUAUUAGUUAUAGACACCAUAUUCCUCUAUCUUUGCAGUUUUAUCGUUUAAAAUUCCGGUUCUCAUCUUCUGAUUUUGAUUAAUAAUUUUGAUUAAUUUUAAUUUAAUUUGUAUUUGAUUAAUAUUUUUAAUCAUAAUAACUACUAUGACAAUUCAUAUUCUUCGAAGUCGAUAAGACUACUUAAUGACGAUGUUUACGUAAUAUUCACCAAUUAUAAAAUGAUAGACGGAACUGCUUGAUAGUUUGACAGAACUAUUCAACAUCUGAAAUAUAAUAUAAUAAGUGUAUUUUUUUGAAAUAUGAUAUAUGAAAUAUGAUAUAAUAAGUUGUAUUUUUUUGUCUUUAAUCGAUAUUCACGGAACUAAUAAUGGAUAUUAUAAAUCUUUGUUUUACAAGAUUUUAUACAAUUUUAUUGCGUAAAUAUUCAAAUUAUUUUGAGAAAUAUUAUUUAAAACUAGAAAUUUUUGAUUGCCUUUGAAAAAUCUAGAAUGUUUUGAGUGUCUAGAAAAACUUGAGAAAUAUUUAAAUACUAAAAAAACAUUUAAAGAAAUAAAAAAAUAUUUUUAAAAAAUUCUAAAAAUAAAAUUAUUUUCUGUAUCUGAGUAAGAUUAUAAGAUAACGUAAAAUUAAUCUAACAUUUUUUUUUAAAGUAAAAAUAUAUUAUAAUUUUUUUACAUAACAUAUGUAUACAUACAUGUGUAAUGUAAUAUACAUAAAUAUAUUUUCUGUUAUAUCUUAAUCAAUAUGUUUUUCAAGAUAUUCAUGACUUUACAUUCAAGAUUUUCAAAUAUUUUUCAACAAGUUUCGAAUAACAUUUAGAAUCACUUUAGAUUUCUGUCAGAAUAACAGAAUGAUUUGAUAUGUUUUAAAUCUGUCAUUUUUUUUAUUCAGGACGGUUAUUAUAAAUGUGAUUUAAAUAUUGAAGUAAAUUUUUACUUAUGGCAUAUUAAUUAUUAAGGUUUUAUAUGGCGCUAAAUACAUCGUUCUUCUGCAAGACUUUACGUUUACCGUUUUUCAUUUUCCUUCACUGUAUAUAUAAAUAUACUAGCCGACAAAACUAACUGUGAUGUAAUUGAGAAACGUUCGUGCAAAAAUCACGAUUUGUAUCUUGGCAUGAAAUGCAUCUCCAACCAAAUACGCUUGCGAAAAUAUGUGCAAAUAGGGUGAUUUUUUUUUGUUUAAUGCAACACGUAUCUCUCUUGGGACAGUUUAAGCGACGAGAGAUAGAUGAGUAGAUCCCCAGCUAGAUCCUAGACAUCGUCGAAGAGUCUACUCUUCUCUAUCCGCACGCUAUGCACGAAUUCGCGAGGAAGAGACGCAGCUGUGUCUAUGUACAAUGCUUUCUAACCGGAUGUUUCGUGUUCUUUUGUUUUCCAGAUGCACGCUCAUCAAGAUAUCUGAAUUGCCAGAGGGUGACAUAUCCCUGCAAGAAUUGUGGCAAGGCUUAUAACUAUUACUCCAGUCUGGCGAGGCAUCUGAAGCACGAGUGCGGCGUGGAGCCCAAGUUCCUCUGUCCCUUGUGUCCUUACAGGACGAAGCAUAAGUCGAGUCUGAAUACUCAUUUGAACGGCAGGCAUAUGAAACUAUUAAGCGAGCUUUAUACCUUGCCCAAUGGCAAUAAGUCGUCUUCAUCGGAUGCCAGAAAUUAAGUCGUAUCUGCAUUCGAAGAUAUAAUACAUGAUGUAUUAGAUGCUAUAUGUGCGAUGUUUUUUGUACUAGAUAAUUCAGAAUUUAUACUAUUUAUUGGUUGACUAGUAAAUUUGACUUAUAAUUACAUAAUAUGACUUACAGUAUUAAGGACAUAUAAAAUUAUAUUUAAUAAAAUUUAAUAAAUAUAUUAUGUAAAUUUAUUACGUUUACAAAAUAAUUAAGGGUUUUUCAGUGCAAUAUUGUUGAAUAUACUCUAAUGAGUAAUAUUCAAUAUACUCUAAAACUUAGAAAUAUUGAAUAUUCUCUAAAACUGUAAAUAUUACAACGAACUAGCAAAGUUGUGAAGAAGUUAUAAUAAUAAUUUUGAUUAUAAAUAUUUUCUUAUGGUUCUGAAUUAUCUUGUACUCAAAUGGUUUGAGCCUUGGUCUCCUAAUGUUAUAUAUUUCUUCCUUUAUUAAUUAACUCUAUAACUGUGCAUGUACAUAUAAUUACUAUGUUUUUUAGUAUCUUAUUCUGUUCUUCCGUCUGCAAGCAGAGAAUGUUCCGACAGAAUAUCGCCAACGAGCGUUUAUUUUUCAAUGAUACAAUAUUUAUAUCUAUAUUUUUAUAAACAGUCAUCCUUUCAUGCGUCAUUACCAGUGAGAUAAUCGGAUAGGCAUGAGACGUACUAUGUAUACGUAUAAUAAAAAUAUACAAUUCCUUUCUGGAAUUUUGUCGCGACCAUUUUGUAUUUUUUGAAGGAAAGAGAUUGCAAUCUACUGUAUUUUAUAUUAUUUUGAUAUAUAGCACGUAAUUAUAAUUAUGAUUAUGGUUAACUAUGAUUAUAGUUACGAAACCUGAUAUAUUUAGUAAUAAUAAUUAUAACAAAUUUAUUGUUAAAGGCAGAUUUAUAAUUAUAAAAGCAGAUUUGUUUUUGUUUGUGUGUAUAUUAUUUUGCAAUUUAAUUUAUUUUUUUUUUAUUUAAAAGCCUUGGCAAGCUUUUUUAAGUCGAGAAUUAACUUACAAUUAGAUUGAAUUUGACAUUGUGCCUAAACUCCUAAACUGUAUAAAUUAUUUUUCUAGGAGUUUAGGUAAAGAAGAGAUUUUGUUUUCUUAACUUCGACUGUCUUAACGAGUAUAUGUAAACUUAAAUGUUUAUUUCUCUACUUUCUUACGCAUUAUAAAUCUUUGAAAUAAGAGCUUUAGUUUUGUAUUUGCAAAGAUGUAUUUAAGAAUGGGUUACGUCGCUUGUUAAAAUUAUUUGAGAAAGCAGCAUUACCGAUUCAGUGCGAAAGCAAACACCGAAGAUUUCGAUACCAAAGUUUAAUAAGUGUUAAUUGCGAAACAGAUAAGCAUCAACUCAAUAUACGCAAUAAUUUUUAUAUUAAAGAAGAUCAUUUAAUAGUUUAAUCUUUCAAAGUUAUUAUUAAAUGAUAUUUACACUAAUACGAUUAAGUUUAUCGUUAACAGAAUUGAAUGUAACAAGUAUGUUUUGAAAUAUUAGUAAAUAUCCGAUAAAUGACGCCAAAAUAUGAAAAAUAUAAAUGAACUUAUUAACAUUCACGCACAAUCGACAAUAAGAGAGGCAUAGAAACUAUACACGCUUAUGUGGGUAGUAAUACGCUUUGUUGUACGUUUAUUAUAAAAUGUGACAACUAAUAUAUGUGCGUGAACAUCUCAUGCGGAACGCAAAGUAUUACUAUAAAUACCUAUUUAUAUAGAUACUUCAAUAAAAAUUACGAUAAAUCGCUUUUGUUUUUGUAAUAGCCCAUAACCAGUUUUGUUUAAUAUUCUGUUUCAGAUGUCCUCCUUUGGCGUUUGGUUUACGUCGUGUUACGUAAUUACGAUACAAUUAUAACUUUCUUAAACAAAUUAUUUACUUUGAUUUAAUUUUCAAAGUGUUGGAAUAAAAUUUUUUUAGCAAUUGCAGUAAUUUCGUUUAAAAAUAUUGAAAAUAUCUUUCUUUAACAGCUCUUAAUAUCGGAAAUAAUGCUAUAUCAUGAGAAACACAACACUACAAAAAUAUAGAAUGAAGAUAUAUCUAAUUUAUAAUCGUAAAACAGACUGUAACAUUGUUCUUUUGAUAACAUGUUCGGAAUUAUAAAGUGUAUCUAAUAAAAUUGACAACGAGAAUAAUUGUAAAUAACUUAUUAUUAUUAUGUAUAUUAUUUUAUAAAAUAUCUAAUUUUUUAGUUUAAUUAAUUAUUUUAAUUUUUGAUUGUGUAUAUCGUAUAUCGAAACUUUGAAGAGAUUAAUUAAUAAAAAAAUACGUUAAUAAAAUAUGUAAUAGUACAUUUAAUAUACUAUAUGUAAUUGUGUGUGUUGGAAUUUUAUAUUAAUUAUUUUAAUGAUUCUAAAAAUUCAUAUCUACUAAUGUCAAACUUUAUUUUUAUUAAUCUGUUUUAUUUUAUUAGCGACAGGCAAUGAAUCAAAAUUUUUUUCUAAUAAAUCUUUGUUAUUUUGUUCACUCAAUAGGUCUUCGAAAUCAAUUAAUUUAUUCAUUCAGUAGAUCUUCGAAUAUUGGAUCGACAUUGCUAUCAGAAGAAUACCUAUGUGGACGCUUGAUUGUAACAAGUUUGCGAUUUAUACAUAUAAUGGUGCUUCAACGCUAUGGAGGAGCUCGAUCCUUUGACAUUACCUGUGCAACGAAACAAGUCGUAUUAUCGGACAAUCGAAGAUCAAAUAACGGCGCAAGUCGAUCCGACGAAGAGCUUUUCGUGUCCUCGUUGCGGGCGAUGCUACAAGGUGAAGAGAUCGCUGCGUCGACAUAUCGUGGUUGAAUGCGGCAAGGCGCCGAAGCACAAGUGCCCUUACUGCCAGCAUCAGAGCAAGUAUAAGGCCAGCAUAACGAAGCACGUCGCACAUGUACACCCGAGUAUGCCGUACCCGUUACUUGGUACCGAUUAAUUCGUCAAACGAUUUUAUUUAUUUUCUUAUUUUUUGUUAUGAAUUAUCAGAUUAUAUUUUAAUGUUUUUUAAAUAAAUUUUUCUCUUUGUUAUUGCAAAAUGCAAGUCAAUACCAGUUUUUGAAAAAUUCAUUGUCUCUUAUGAUAAAUUAUUAAUUUUUACAUUGUUAAUACAUAUUGGCAUUUAAAUCGUCAGUAAAGAUUUAUUUUACUAUUUUAUUACGUUUAUGAAGUUGUUAAUGUGUAAGAGAGACGUAUGAGAUGCAUAAUUAAUUGACUUUUAACAUAUUUUGUUAUUAAUUGUAUGGAAAUUUUUCUAUACAACGCCAGUUAUGUGAAAGAAUAUAUCUUAUGCAAUUAUAAAUAAAACUGAUAUCUCCUAAGUUAGUUAGAACAUGUCAAAAUGAGAAAUAAACGUUUCGAAUGUUCGAACAAUUGAUUAUUGUACAUAAAUAGCGCUUGUAAAAAUGUUCUCUAAUCUUAAUCUUCGCAAUACAUAUUGAGACAAAUGUUGACGCAUGUUAUUAUUUCCUCGUCUCUAGCAUUUUACAUUUUUAGAAGGUACAUUAAAUAUGUCAUCGUUUUUUGCGGUGCACUCAGAAAAAUGAUGGUAAGAAAAUUUGCGAGUAAGAGAUAGAAGAUUGACUUACAAAGCGUGAGUGGAACAGAUUCACCGAAAAAGAUUCAUUUUAAGGAUGUUUUAACGAGAUUUACAUUGAGAUUGUGUAACUGUGUUCGUGCAUGGUCGUGAUAUUAUGUAUUACUUUUCAGAUACGCAGCGGAUUUCCUCUCGCAUACAGCUCUGUACAUUCUUUUCUCAUAUUGUUAUUUUUCGGUCGCAUUAAGACUCUACGAUCCAGCCGAUUCGAACGCGGGUUAUUAUCUCGUUUCCAAUUAUGUAUUUCCUCUAUCCGAUUACACAGGGACUUGAGUGAGGUUCGUUAGCGAAGUUGCCGCGUUUAUAUCUGGCUUAAAGAAACAAAUCGCAGAAAAUUAAUGAAAUGCUUUUUUUUGCCAUCCAACUGCGAGGAUGAUGAAGACGAGUGCUACUUCCGGUAUUAAUAAAUUAUUCUUCGUGUUUGCAGGUUUUGUGAAGGUGACCUAUUACAUGUCUCAAAUGAAGGAUCGGCGACGGUGUCGUGGCCAAGGUCGUUUCGCCUGCGAUAACUGCGACCGCCGUUAUCACCAGAUGAAGAACCUGAGGAGGCACGUGACGAAUGAGUGCGGCAAGCAGCCGAUGCAUCAGUGCUCCUUCUGUCCAUAUAGAGCGACUUAUAAGUCGUAUCUUCAAGUGCAUAUGAUGAAACACACCAAGCACGGUUUCGUACCUCGCAUUAAACAUCAUGAUUCAUGAAAGCCUUUUCGACACUUGUCUGCUAGGUAAACUUGACUUUUCGCUCGAGUGACGAAGUUACUUACCAGGAUCGGAAGAUCGCGAGACUUUCGUGGAAAAGUAUUGACGAGCCGAGUAAUACUGAGUACUGAGAAGGCACUGAGAAUGAACGAGAAAUUUUACUUAAAAAUUUCUGUAUGUCGACAGUCUUCAGUGUCGUCUAAAGAAAUUUUCUCUACACAUGAUUUUUUGAUAUGUGUACUUUUUUUUUUAUUAAUUUGGUUGAAUUGUAAAGCAUUCCAUAUUUAUAUCGCUAUGCUAAUGUAGAAUGGCCAUUUGACAAUUAUCUUAGACCUAAGGUAAAUAUCUAAGGAAUUUAAUAAAAUCGACAUCUCACUCCGAGACAAA
Molecule: long non-coding RNA, 6651 nt
Filed under: Monomorium pharaonis (pharaoh ant)
Lineage: Eukaryota; Metazoa; Arthropoda; Insecta; Hymenoptera; Formicidae
Description: uncharacterized LOC118646582
Source: RNAcentral